AUGGCUUUGUUACCAUUUUUAUGCUCCUCUGAGUCCCCACUGUUGCUCAUUUCUCUGGGACCUAUUUCACUGAACAAAGAGAAACCUCCAGGAAAGAGGAAGCAGGAAAAUAGAAAGAGGUUAAGUCACACACAUCAAUUGGGGCCAUCAAAGAAAGGCGACUGCAGGAAAGGAACAAGGAUCAAUGAAGAGGGAAGGAAAAUAGAACCUGCUCAUGGAGAGUCUAAAAUUCAAAAACUUCUUAAGCUUGGGAAGAUGCCACAGCAACAUAAAACAAUUCCAUCACAGCAACUUGAAAGUCAUGAAAAAAUGCAGAACACUGGUAGAGACAACCAUGGAUUAUUGCAGCCAGCACUUCCCAAUGUGGCUUUACCUUGCACAGAUGAAACUCAUGAGCAGCUCAAGCAGAGAGGAGAUAACUACAACCCAGGAGAAAUUCCUGAAUGA
This 447-nucleotide long non-coding RNA is filed under the name Callithrix jacchus (white-tufted-ear marmoset). RNAcentral describes it as "lncRNA (ENSCJAG00000079459.1)". Lineage: Eukaryota; Metazoa; Chordata; Mammalia; Primates; Cebidae. The record is from RNAcentral.